ACGGAGGAUUCGAGCGUUAUCCGGAUUUAUUGGGUUUAAAGGGAGCGUAGAUGGAUGUUUAAGUCAGUUGUGAAAGUUUGCGGCUCAACCGUAAAAUUGCAGUUGAUACUGGAUAUCUUGAGUGCAGUUGAGGCAGGCGGAAUUCGUGGUGUAGCGGUGAAAUGCUUAGAUAUCACGAAGAACUCCGAUUGCGAAGGCAGCCUGCUAAGCUGCAACUGACAUUGAGGCUCGAAAGUGUGGGUAUCAAACAG
RNAcentral lists this ribosomal RNA (251 nucleotides) under uncultured bacterium. RNAcentral describes it as "partial 16S ribosomal RNA". It matches the Rfam family "Bacterial small subunit ribosomal RNA", at positions 525 to 775 of the family's 1533-position model. The record is from RNAcentral.